AGCAGUCGCCGCGGUAAUACGGAGGGAGCUAGCGUUGUUCGGAAUUACUGGGCGUAAAGCGCGCGUAGGCGGUUACUCAAGUCAGAGGUGAAAGCCCGGGGCUCAACCCCGGAACUGCCUUUGAAACUAGGUGACUAGAAUCUUGGAGAGGUCAGUGGAAUUCCGAGUGUAGAGGUGAAAUUCGUAGAUAUUCGGAAGAACACCAGUGGCGAAGGCGGCUCACUGGACUGGUAUUGACGCUGAGGUGCGAAAGCGUGGGGAGCAAACAGGAUUAGAUACCCCAGUAGUCCCUGUCUCUUAUAC
RNAcentral lists this ribosomal RNA (303 nucleotides) under uncultured bacterium. RNAcentral's name for it is "partial 16S ribosomal RNA". It matches the Rfam family "Bacterial small subunit ribosomal RNA", at positions 507 to 807 of the family's 1533-position model. The record is from RNAcentral.